Molecule: ribosomal RNA, 476 nt
Filed under: uncultured bacterium
Lineage: Bacteria
Description: bacterial SSU rRNA
Rfam family: Bacterial small subunit ribosomal RNA
Source: RNAcentral
CUCUGUGACUCCUACGGGAGGCAGCAGUGGGGAAUAUUGCACAAUGGGCGCAAGCCUGAUGCAGCCAUGCCGCGUGUGUGAAGAAGGCCUUCGGGUUGUAAAAGCACUUUCAGUUGUGAGGAAGGUGGUGUCGUUUAAUAGCGGCAUCAUUUGACGUUAGCAACAGAAGAAAGCACCGGCUAACUCCGUGCCAGCAGCCGCGGUAAUACGGAGGGUGCGAGCGUUAAUCGGAAUUACUGGGCGUAAAGCGCAUGCAGGUGGUUUGUUAAGUCAGAUGUGAAAGCCCGGGGCUCAACCUCGGAACUGCAUUUUGAAACUGGCAGACUAGAGUACUGUAGAGGGGGUAGAAUUUCAGGUGUAGCGGUGAAAUGCGUAGAGAUCUGAAGGAAUACCGGUGGCGAAGGCGGCCCCCUGGACAGAUACUGACACUCAGAUGCGAAAGCGUGGGGAGCAAACAGGAUUAGAUACCCUGGUAG